UAGGGAAUAUUGGGCAAUGGAGGAAACUCUGACCCAGCAACGCCGCGUGAAUGAUGAAGGUCUUCGGAUUGUAAAGUUCUGUCGCAGGGGACGAAGAAUGACGGUACCCUGUAAGAAAGCCCCGGCAAACUACGUGCCAGCAGCCGCGGUAAUACGUAGGGGGCAAGCGUUGUCCGGAAUGACUGGGCGUAAAGGGAGUGUAGGCGGCGUUCUAAGUUAUAUGUGAAAUCCCACGGCUCAACCGUGGAACUGCAUAUAAAACUGGAGUGCUGGAGUGUGGGAGAGGUAAAUGGAAUUCCUAGUGUAGCGGUGGAAUGCGUAGAUAUUAGGAGGAACACCAGAGGCGAAGGCGAUUUACUGGACCAUAACUGACGCUGAGGCUCGAAAGCGUGGGGAGCAAACA
RNAcentral lists this ribosomal RNA (403 nucleotides) under uncultured Bacillota bacterium. RNAcentral's name for it is "uncultured Firmicutes bacterium partial 16S ribosomal RNA". It matches the Rfam family "Bacterial small subunit ribosomal RNA", at positions 355 to 774 of the family's 1533-position model. The record is from RNAcentral. Lineage: Bacteria; Bacillati; Bacillota.